RNAcentral lists this unclassified non-coding RNA (279 nucleotides) under plant metagenome. Its description in RNAcentral is "partial contains small subunit ribosomal RNA, internal transcribed spacer 1, and 5.8S ribosomal RNA". The record is from RNAcentral.
UCUCCGUUGGUGAACCAGCGGAGGGAUCAUUACCGAGUUUACAACUCCCAAACCCUUGUUAACCUUCACCUUUUUUUGUUUCCGGAUAAUCGCCCUCCCGCUUCAAGGUGGCGGAUCCCAGCACCACCCCUAAUCCCCUAACUCUUUGUUAAAUAUGUUUCUUAUACGAUUAACAAAACAAAAAUUAAAAAAAACUUUCUACAACGUCUCUCUUGGUUCUAGCACCGAUGAAAAGCGAAGCACACCGGACAACCCCACGUCUCAACUGCAAUCCCUUCU